Molecule: RNA transcript, 3313 nt
Organism: Harpia harpyja (harpy eagle)
Lineage: Eukaryota; Metazoa; Chordata; Aves; Accipitriformes; Accipitridae
Gene: LRRC38
Gene name: leucine rich repeat containing 38
Exons: 5
Source: RefSeq, a predicted model, not a curated record
UCUUUCCUUCAGUCACUCUCCCUCCCCCCUCCCAAGACUGCUGCUAUCGGAUCUGUGAUGAUAUGUGAUCUCCUGGAUACAAUCACACACACACACAAGUACCAGGCACUGCUGCUCAGCUGAGCAAAAUGUCUUUCUCUUAGAAGUGGUGCUCAUCACAGCUUUCAAAUCCUUGACGAUGUUGCCAUGCUUUCCUUUCUGCCUUCUGCCUUUUUCUGUCUUUGUCUGCCUGCUUUUCUUACCCGUGGGUCAUUUUUGCCCUGCUGUCUGUAGCUGUAUGGACUACCACACCAUAGAUUGCCGGGAUCAAGGACUCCCAAGUGUUCCUAAUCCAUUUCCAUUGGAUGUACGGAAACUUCUUAUAGCUGAUAACAACAUUCAGGCGAUACCAGCUGAUUUCUUUAUAUUUUAUGGAGAUCUAGUCUAUUUGGACUUCAGGAAUAACUCCCUGACCUCUUUAGAAGAGGGUACUUUUAGCAGUUCUACCAAACUGGUGUAUUUAGACUUAAGCUACAAUAAUUUAACACAGCUUGAUGCUGGGAUAUUCAAAUCAGCAGAAAAACUGAUAAAAUUGAGCCUUGGAAACAAUAACCUGGUGGAUGUGGAUGAGGCUGCUUUUGAGAACCUGGAACAGCUCCAAGUGUUAGAAUUGAAUGACAAUAACUUACAAAGCCUAAAUGUGGCAGCCCUAGAAGCGCUUCCCUCCCUGCGGACUAUACGCUUAGAGGGCAACCCUUGGGUCUGUGACUGUGACUUUGCCAAUCUUUUCAGCUGGAUACAGGACAAUGCAUCUAAGCUCCAGAAAGGUCUCCAUGAAAUCCAGUGUUCCCUGCCUGUAGAAAAUAGAAGAAUCUUUCUGAAUGAAUUAUCUGAGGUUCAUCCUACCAUGGUGCCUCAAAAUGAAGAUCUAGAUUUGUUUAUAGUUUGUAGCUUUUUGGUCACCCAACAUAAAGCCCUGAAAGCACUAUUUAUAUUUGGAACUUAGCACCCCUCAGAACAGCAAGGAACAGACCAAGCUGACACCCACAUAAUCCAGUGCAAGCCGAAGAGCAAAGUUUAGUAAAGCUUUAUUUAUGAAGCUGCCGUUAUGGAUACUCCAUCACAUCAAACUGAUUUUGCAAUACAGCCUCAGUGGAACAGCUGAAGCCUGAUGGGGAUGCUGAGCCUGAGACAGUCCGUCAUCCCUAACGGAGGUUCCUCUGUGGUAGGUUUCAAACCUGCAGGAGCAACUCUAUGCAGGACCUUUUACUGAUUCAGUAUGUGCUGCCUACCUGCUAUGUGAGUAAAUUACUUUAGUUUCCAGGGCUGCUCGCUGGCACAUUUCUAAGUUCAGCUCAUGUCCCCCAAAAUAAAGGAGCAGGGGUUUUGAUAGCUUUCGAAUCUGACCAUUCCUCUCAGAGAGCGACGUUUGCGUUUGCGGUGUAACCUGUUUUAUCGGCCUCUAGUGGCAGCUGAGAUGCUUUACUGUGGAGGUAAGUCGUGAUUCAUUGUGGUGAAGAUGCUGUUGAAAUGCUGAAUCCUUGCAUACUCUUUCCAAAAAGAAAACAGAAAUAUACAUUAGGAAAUAACAUUUCUUGGAGAGUAAGAUCUGCCAUGGACUCUUAGUGCCAAGCAGCCUGUAACAUGCAUGAGUCACCAGAAAUGUUUAUUUCAUGUCCUAUCUGUUAACAUUGGAGCAAUACAACCUUGUCAUAGAAUUGCAGAAAAUAGCUAUGGAAGAACCUCAAAUACAUCAUGUAAUGAUAGCUGAUGCUUUGUAAUAAAAAUACUUGGUUUUCUAAUCAGAUUCCCACUCUCAUCUUGCCGUCAUCAGAUCCAUUUUGUCUUGGUUUCUGUAUAUCUUUCUGUAAAUCUGAUAUUCGUCAUAUCUUGACUGUAUCUAGAACAGAAUCCUGGUUUGGUACUAUCUCUGCAUGGUACAGCAAUACAAAUCACCAACAGCAGUAUAACCAACCAGCAGACUAGGAAAAACACAGUUUUGUUUAUGCUGACCAACCAUCCAUCUAUGAUUGUAAAGAGUUAGCAGGAAAAAGCUAUUCAAUUUUAAGCUGACAGAGCAACAGGAGACCUUCUGUUGCAAAGCUGAAUGCCUGAAUUAUGAUGUGUCUCUCCCGUUCCCAUCAACUCUCACACCCCACCCAGAGCUCCAUAAAACUGUGUGAAAUUGUGUAACAUUGGGUUAGCAGCUCAUAAUGUGCUUUUUUGGGGGUUGUCAAAAAACAUACGAGUAAACACUUCAGAGCAGGCUUCUACUGUGAGUUUUGUGGGAAGUGAAAAGUUUGCAGGGAGGUGAGCAGCAAAUAAGGAGUGAAACAGCUUGGGCCAGAGUUGUUCAGUAGUCAAGUUUGCUUCAAAGCAGCGUUGUUUUGAUCUCAGAGCUGCUUUUUCACCACUUUCUGUUAGCAGUGGUGAGGUCUAAAGGUUAGCCAGUUCACACCCGGGUGUGAAGUAGUAUAGUCUGCUUCAAGCAGAAAUUGAUGUCAAUUGAAUUUCUGAAGUUUAAUACUCCCCACCAAAGCACCAUUUGCCUAUUUAAAAGCUUUGAUUUUAAUCUGAAAUGUGACACGUCACUUAGUAGGCUGUACAGAAGUUUCUUACCAACUCAGAACUGAGAAAGUCGAAAACAUUCAUCCAGACAACGGUGCUAGCAAGAUAUGGUUCAAUUGUUUCAGUAUGUGAGGUCAGAAUUCCAAGCUGACAUCACUGGAAUAUAAGCAGUUAGACUUUGACUCUCCCUUUUUUUACUCCUGGUCAUGCUACUCACCAAUAGCUAAGCAAAGUACAAGAUACAGGCAUUGUACACCACCUUAGAAUCUCCCCUUAGCUGGAAGAAUGAGCAAAAAAGAAUUGAGAAUUCAGCAGGAAAGCCAGCUUUGUGACCUUUGCUUAAAAUCUAAAUGUGAUACAGUCCAGCUGACUGACAUUCCAAGGCUUGGUGGUGUUGUGUGGGGGUUUUGCUCUUUAAUUAGGGCAAGUGUUGAAAGACUUUGCAGUAGAAAUAAUGUUUGGUCUUUGUGGUAUUUAACAGGGAAUUAAAUGACUGUGAACAUACUUGACAAACAAUUCUAGUCUAUUUUUGCCCACCAGUUUUUCUCAAAUUGAGAAACUGUCGCUCACUUAAGAGUAGAUUAGGUUUGCAGUCUGCAGUAGGUUAAAGUAUUACUCUUUAUCCUUUGAAGAUCUGGCUUCAAACGUGAAUUUGGGUCACAGGAGGAAAUGACCAGAAUAAAUCCCUUAAGGUCAUUUUGGUCAGUUGGGCAAAUGCAUAGAGAUGCUCUUAUUAACAAUAUGAACUGUAUACUUGAAGAUGGGA